Molecule: non-coding RNA, 80 nt
Organism: Podarcis lilfordi (Lilford's wall lizard)
Lineage: Eukaryota; Metazoa; Chordata; Lepidosauria; Squamata; Lacertidae
Source: the annotation of a GenBank genome assembly
GCCUGGAGAAUGGCUGCAGUUCCGUAAUAGAGCAUCUGCUUUGCAUGCAGAAGGUCUCAGAUUCAAUCCCUGGCGGGGCU